GCAAGUCGAACGAGAUCCUUCGGGGUCUAGUGGCGCACGGGUGCGUAACGCGUGGGAAUCUGCCUUUCGGUACGGAAUAACCCAGGGAAACUUGUGCUAAUACCGUAUGACGUCGCGAGACCAAAGAUUUAUCGCCGAAAGAUGAGCCCGCGUAGGAUUAGCUAGUUGGUGGGGUAAAGGCCUACCAAGGCGACGAUCCUUAGCUGGUCUGAGAGGAUGAUCAGCCACACUGGGACUGAGACACGGCCCAGACUCCUACGGGAGGCAGCAGUGGGGAAUAUUGGACAAUGGGCGAAAGCCUGAUCCAGCAAUGCCGCGUGAGUGAUGAAGGCCUUAGGGUUGUAAAGCUCUUUUACCCGGGAUGAUAAUGACAGUACCGGGAGAAUAAGCCCCGGCUAACUCCGUGCCAGCAGCCGCGGUAAUACGGAGGGGGCUAGCGUUGUUCGGAAUUACUGGGCGUAAAGCGUACGUAGGCGGUGACUCAAGUCAGAGGUGAAAGCCCGGGGCUCAACUCCGGAAUUGCCUUUGAAACUAGGUCGCUUGAACGUCGGAGAGGUGAGUGGAAUUCCGAGUGUAGAGGUGAAAUUCGUAGAUAUUCGGAAGAACACCAGUGGCGAAGGCGGCUCACUGGACGACUGUUGACGCUGAGGUACGAAAGCGUGGGG
RNAcentral lists this ribosomal RNA (665 nucleotides) under uncultured soil bacterium. Its description in RNAcentral is "bacterial SSU rRNA". It matches the Rfam family "Bacterial small subunit ribosomal RNA", at positions 57 to 766 of the family's 1533-position model. The record is from RNAcentral.